RNA transcript from Sorghum bicolor (sorghum), 1696 nucleotides. RefSeq lists it as uncharacterized. The transcript has 5 exons. NCBI's taxonomy places the organism in Eukaryota, Viridiplantae, Streptophyta, Magnoliopsida, Poales, Poaceae. The record is from RefSeq and is a predicted model, not a curated record.
GUGUCUCUCCGACUCUCCCUCCCAAUAUCUCACGUCCUCCAGACGAGCGCCCCACUGCCCGCCCACCACGCCCCACCGCACUCCUCCCUGCGCUCCACCACGCCCACCGUGCGAUGGACGGCGGCGGGAGGCCCUCGGCGCGGUGGCCCAGCACGGCGACCCCAGGCACGGCAACGCUGGCACGGACAGACCCUGGUGCGGCAACUCCGGCGUGGUGGCGGUUCGGAUCCUGUGGCACGGCGGCCCAGACGAGCGAGGCCGACGGGACCGUGGGGAGGUGGUGCGGCUGCGCCGGGCAUCGUGGGGAGGAUGGCGUGGCUGCGUGGAGGCGACUGGCUGCGUCGAUCGGCACGGCUACGAGGAGGCGGCAUGGCGGCGAGAUUGUUGGGUUCGUGAGCCCGCCGAUGAGGAGGUCCUCCACUGCAUCUCCACCAUCAGUACCAGCACCGUGCCUCCUAUCAAUCACCACCACCUCCCUUCGCAUAAACUGCUAAGUUUGCACUUGAUUUGCAGAUACAUUUCAUUUCCAGUGGCCUCUUUGAAUUUUAGAGAUACAUCAUAUGGUUUUUCCUACAGAUUAAAUCCACAAAUAAUUUAAACUAUCUUAUUUCUGCCACUAAAAUGUUAUGCGAAUCUAAGCAUUUAAUCUGGUUUCAUAGAACAUUACCUAUAAAAUGCCCUGCAAGCUUAUGCUUUUAUGGAUAUAAGGAUAUUGGAUUAUUGUUAUACACUUAUAUACUACAUAAUAAUCAUAAUCAUUCUUGGAACUAUAUAAUUUUGUGCCUCCAACUAAAAAUACAAUCCAAUAAUUUUCCGGUCUAUUAAAUUAUUAAUGCAGGACAUGUAUCUGAUUGUAGCUUUCUUGCACUUUGAGCUGUUUUUCUUUUUAGUUGCUUUGCAGGACAGUAGCCUCUACUUUUGUGUUGUUAUUGCCAUUUCCCAUUUCUGUAUCAGUGUACUCUACAAUUAGCUUCUAAGGGCUUUCAGAUCUAUGCUUUUGGUUUAUUCAGUUCACUUGCUAAAUGUAAAUGGUCUCAUGAAGAAAAAAAAGUAAGCAAGUCAUCCAAGGUUCAUGUUGUGCAAUCCAUUUGUCUUCUGCAGUUGUCUGAUUAGCGUCGUGGGCUUUCCCUUCCCCCUCCUGACCGCGCCCCCUGCUCCUCUCCUCCCUCAAUUCUGCGUCGUGCCACGCCGUUUAAUAUUAUGUUCUCAAUAAGGUACACAACAGGUAAUUUGCUGCAGGUCAUCACUAAGGUCCACAAUGGAGAAAAGUGGACUAUAACCAUUAACAUGGUAGCACAUUCAUACACUGAAGAAUGUCUUCUAUGUCUGGAUUAAUGUACUUAUAACAGUACCUGCACAUAUAUAUAAGGGUGCUCCUCUUGCUGGAUAAUAUCUCUGGAGUACCUGCAGAAGGGCCAUGCCCAUCAGUUUGGUUGAACUGGAGGCUGGAGCACUUGUCUCAGGAGUUGAAGCAAAAUUUGUUGAUGCAAAGACAAUGAAGCAUCUGCCUCUGAACCAGCUUGGAGAAAUCUGUGUUCGAGUACCAAACAUAAUGGAAGAUGAUAUUUGAUUAUUUUCAGCCUUAUUAAUUAUGUUUAUUUACAAAUAUAACUGUGUAUAUAUGCCAAUGUUUGGAUUGUGCUAUUAACUUGUGCUUUCAUUGUUUAACGUCUCGAUGGAUUGUGCUGUUUUAAUA